Molecule: non-coding RNA, 91 nt
Organism: Aspergillus heteromorphus CBS 117.55
Lineage: Eukaryota; Fungi; Ascomycota; Eurotiomycetes; Eurotiales; Aspergillaceae
Source: the annotation of a RefSeq genome assembly
CCCAGUGUGGUGUAGUUGGGAGCGCGGCUACUCAUGGCCUCUAGAGCGGGGUUGAGUGUGGCAGGUCUGGGUUCGAUUCCCAGCACUGGGG